Molecule: long non-coding RNA, 1253 nt
Filed under: Homo sapiens (human)
Lineage: Eukaryota; Metazoa; Chordata; Mammalia; Primates; Hominidae
Description: HSALNT0402977
Source: RNAcentral
AAGGGGACUGGGCCUUGCCUGGACCACCCACCUGGCUUGGGCCAUGCCAGCUGCUCUGCUGCAGUGUGUGGUUGCUCAAGUUUAGCUACAAGGCCAUAUAAGAGUCCUUCCAAGAGGAGGAUGGGGCGAACUUUCCAGCUAGAGUUUGACCUAAGGAAGGAUUUCAAAACUUACCCCUGCAAUGCUUUAACAGCAUUCAAGUCAAAUGGAGGCUUUUCAUACAGUGAAAUCCACAGUAGCUCUCUGUGGUAUGUAGGGCUACUAGCCAGAUAUACCUGAAAGCAAGCGCUUGCCUUGCUCUCCCUCUGCCACAGAACGAUGACACAGGGAUAACAAAGGGAAAUACCAGGGAAUGUCAAGUCAAACAAAUCGUAGAUCUUCUCUGGCGGCUUCUUUGACCUUGUUCUGAGUGAACACCGUGUACAUCAAGGAAGAUAAUUACAACUUUUUCAAGUCUUCUAAAAUCGAACUCCCUGUGGUGGCGACCAGUAUCUUCAAACUCAUACCAGAGUAAAGCCUUAUCCAUUUGGAGUUCUUUCUGAUGCAUUAUGUGAGAAAAACAAGCAAACAAAUGAACACUUAUUUGUAUUUGAAUUGCACUAAAUUUAUACAUGAAACUGAAAAAAACUGAUAUCUUUAUGAAGCUGCAUAAUCCUAUCCAAGGACAGACGUCUCCUUCCAUUUGCUUUUGCUUUACUAAUUUGAAUCUAUGUUAUUUGUUUUGGAUACAUCUGGAAUUGACUUUUUUGCAUGGUGUAAGAGCCAGCUCUUCUUCAGGAUAAGCAUGCCUGGUUUCUUCAACUUAUUCCACAAGAGUGAACAAGUAAGAAAUAACAGUUCUUCCUGGAUCAGCCCUCUCCCGUCUGUCAUCUCCAACAGAUACAAAGCCAGCUUUAAGAAGACCAAACCUACAAAAAUCAUUCAUGCUUUCUGCCUCCAUGUUUUUCUUUCCAACCUAGUUCCUCCAGAAAAUGUAAAAGAGCAACCGAACCGUCAACUGGUACAAUGACUUCUACACAUCAGACCUCGGCCACGCCACAGUCAUCAGAUUAUUCUAUCACAGGGUCUCUCAACCGUGGAAUAUGGUCUCCAAGGGAAACAAGCCACAGAGGGCUCAGGAGCAUUGCUAUAAAGAGUAGGCAAAUGGAAAUCUUUCCCCAAAGGGCACACUGGGAUUGUUAGGCGAGGGCUGCUCAAUCCAUUAAAAGUUUAAACUCGAAAAAAAAAAAGAAAAAAAAAACCUUUUGAAAAAA